GUCAAGGUGGUGGAGUGGUUAACACGUUCGCCUGCUAGUCUCGGCAACGAGAAAGCCCAGCGGAUGCCUUCGGGCGCGCAGGUUCGAAUCCUGUCCUUGACG
This is a non-coding RNA of Geopyxis carbonaria, 102 nucleotides long. NCBI's taxonomy places the organism in Eukaryota, Fungi, Ascomycota, Pezizomycetes, Pezizales, Tarzettaceae. The record is from the annotation of a GenBank genome assembly.